UCCCUGGUGGCUCAGACGGUAAAGCGUCUGUCUACAAUGCAAGAGACCUGGGUUCGAUUCCUGGGUUGGGAA
Non-coding RNA from Bos taurus (domestic cattle), 72 nucleotides. The record is from Rfam. Lineage: Eukaryota; Metazoa; Chordata; Mammalia; Artiodactyla; Bovidae.